RNAcentral lists this ribosomal RNA (1559 nucleotides) under Lactiplantibacillus plantarum. Its description in RNAcentral is "Lactobacillus plantarum 16S ribosomal RNA". It matches the Rfam family "Bacterial small subunit ribosomal RNA". The record is from RNAcentral. Lineage: Bacteria; Bacillati; Bacillota; Bacilli; Lactobacillales; Lactobacillaceae.
AGAGUUUGAUCCUGGCUCAGGACGAACGCUGGCGGCGUGCCUAAUACAUGCAAGUCGAACGAACUCUGGUAUUGAUUGGUGCUUGCAUCAUGAUUUACAUUUGAGUGAGUGGCGAACUGGUGAGUAACACGUGGGAAACCUGCCCAGAAGCGGGGGAUAACACCUGGAAACAGAUGCUAAUACCGCAUAACAACUUGGACCGCAUGGUCCGAGUUUGAAAGAUGGCUUCGGCUAUCACUUUUGGAUGGUCCCGCGGCGUAUUAGCUAGAUGGUGGGGUAACGGCUCACCAUGGCAAUGAUACGUAGCCGACCUGAGAGGGUAAUCGGCCACAUUGGGACUGAGACACGGCCCAAACUCCUACGGGAGGCAGCAGUAGGGAAUCUUCCACAAUGGACGAAAGUCUGAUGGAGCAACGCCGCGUGAGUGAAGAAGGGUUUCGGCUCGUAAAACUCUGUUGUUAAAGAAGAACAUAUCUGAGAGUAACUGUUCAGGUAUUGACGGUAUUUAACCAGAAAGCCACGGCUAACUACGUGCCAGCAGCCGCGGUAAUACGUAGGUGGCAAGCGUUGUCCGGAUUUAUUGGGCGUAAAGCGAGCGCAGGCGGUUUUUUAAGUCUGAUGUGAAAGCCUUCGGCUCAACCGAAGAAGUGCAUCGGAAACUGGGAAACUUGAGUGCAGAAGAGGACAGUGGAACUCCAUGUGUAGCGGUGAAAUGCGUAGAUAUAUGGAAGAACACCAGUGGCGAAGGCGGCUGUCUGGUCUGUAACUGACGCUGAGGCUCGAAAGUAUGGGUAGCAAACAGGAUUAGAUACCCUGGUAGUCCAUACCGUAAACGAUGAAUGCUAAGUGUUGGAGGGUUUCCGCCCUUCAGUGCUGCAGCUAACGCAUUAAGCAUUCCGCCUGGGGAGUACGGCCGCAAGGCUGAAACUCAAAGGAAUUGACGGGGGCCCGCACAAGCGGUGGAGCAUGUGGUUUAAUUCGAAGCUACGCGAAGAACCUUACCAGGUCUUGACAUACUAUGCAAAUCUAAGAGAUUAGACGUUCCCUUCGGGGACAUGGAUACAGGUGGUGCAUGGUUGUCGUCAGCUCGUGUCGUGAGAUGUUGGGUUAAGUCCCGCAACGAGCGCAACCCUUAUUAUCAGUUGCCAGCAUUAAGUUGGGCACUCUGGUGAGACUGCCGGUGACAAACCGGAGGAAGGUGGGGAUGACGUCAAAUCAUCAUGCCCCUUAUGACCUGGGCUACACACGUGCUACAAUGGAUGGUACAACGAGUUGCGAACUCGCGAGAGUAAGCUAAUCUCUUAAAGCCAUUCUCAGUUCGGAUUGUAGGCUGCAACUCGCCUACAUGAAGUCGGAAUCGCUAGUAAUCGCGGAUCAGCAUGCCGCGGUGAAUACGUUCCCGGGCCUUGUACACACCGCCCGUCACACCAUGAGAGUUUGUAACACCCAAAGUCGGUGGGGUAACCUUUUAGGAACCAGCCGCCUAAGGUGGGACAGAUGAUUAGGGUGAAGUCGUAACAAGGUAGCCGUAGGAGAACCUGCGGCUGGAUCACCUCCUU